Molecule: ribosomal RNA, 460 nt
Filed under: uncultured bacterium
Lineage: Bacteria
Description: partial 16S ribosomal RNA
Rfam family: Bacterial small subunit ribosomal RNA
Source: RNAcentral
CCUACGGGAGGCAGCAGUGAGGAAUAUUGGUCAAUGGGCUUACGCCUGAACCAGCCAAGUCGCGUGAGGGAAGACUGCCCUAUGGGUUGUAAACCUCUUUUGUCAGGGAGCAACGCCGGCCACGUGUAGCCGGACUAAGAGUACCUGAAGAAAAAGCAUCGGCUAACUCCGUGCCAGCAGCCGCGGUAAUACGGAGGAUGCGAGCGUUAUCCGGAUUUAUUGGGUUUAAAGGGUGCGUAGGCGGUGUGCCAAGUCAGCGGGAAAAUCGCGGGGCUCAACCUCGACCCGCCGUUGAAACUGGCGUUCUUGAGUGGGCGAGAAGUAUGCGGAAUGCGUGGUGUAGCGGUGAAAUGCAUAGAUAUCACGCAGAACUCCGAUUGCGAAGGCAGCAUACCGGCGCCCAACUGACGCUGAAGCACGAAAGCGUGGGUAUCGAACAGGAUUAGAUACCCGGGUAGUC